This 257-nucleotide ribosomal RNA is filed under the name uncultured soil bacterium. RNAcentral describes it as "partial 16S ribosomal RNA". It matches the Rfam family "Bacterial small subunit ribosomal RNA", at positions 26 to 285 of the family's 1533-position model. The record is from RNAcentral.
AGGACGAACGCUGGCGGCGUGCUUAACACAUGCAAGUCGAGCGGUAAGGCCCUUUCGGGGGUACACGAGCGGCGAACGGGUGAGUAACACGUGGGUGACCUGCCCUCAGCUCUGGGAUAAGCCUGGGAAACUAGGUCUAAUACCGGAUAUUCUCUUCUCCUCGCAUGGGGGGUUGUGGAAAGUUUUUUCGGCUGGGGAUGGGCCCGCGGCCUAUCAGCUUGUUGGUGGGUGAUGGCCUACCAAGGCGACGACGGGUA